This 1570-nucleotide long non-coding RNA is filed under the name Vulpes vulpes (red fox). RNAcentral's name for it is "lncRNA (ENSVVUG00000008790.1)". The record is from RNAcentral. Lineage: Eukaryota; Metazoa; Chordata; Mammalia; Carnivora; Canidae.
AUGAAAGUCACGUUGGCUAAGUUUGGAAAGUGUUCUUGGGAACAGAGCUGGUGCUGCGCAGAGGGGAACAUUCAAGCUUCCAAGUGGUUGGACUUUACCCAUCUCUGGGCAGGUGACGUGCGUGGCUGUGCUGGGCAUCACCAACAGCGGAAGAGGGGGUGCUGCUCAUGCUUCCAGCAGCCACUCACCCGGAAAAGAUUUCCUUUCUCUGCCUGUCCCUUACUGUUUGCCUGGGGACAGCCUGGUGCCAGGAAAGCAGAGUGUCAGGUGUCAAGAGGCUGCCCCUUCCUGAACCUGGCCUCCUCCUCAGGCUGUGGGGAAGGAGCCAGAACACCUGCAAUAAACGUGCAGCAGUGGAGCAGCCACACAACUGCAGUGACGGAAAGCUCCCCCACAACCACAAUUGCAACAACCACAGUGUGCCAUCACACAAGUAAUAACGGCAAUAAGUCUGAUAACUGCAGCAACCGCACCAAUUGCACAGCCACACGGCGCCCACACAGCCCCGGUGACCUGCAGCUACACUGUGCCGGUGGCCGUCUAUCAAAUAUGUAUCACGUGCUGACUUAAGGCCAGAGAGGGAGGUCUGCAGAGCCUCCUGCCAUAGAUCAGUGGAGGCCUGGGAGGCUGCAGAGCUUCUCUGGCCUUUGGGCAAGAAUGGGUUGGUGGGAAGUUGGCUCAGGUGAGUUGGGUUAUGGCCUUGUCUCCUUCUCUGAGGAGAGGUAUGGUCCCUUGAAGACUUCCACGUCAAUUAGGCUCUGAGCCCUAGAAGAGAGCAUCUUUCUCACUUCCCUUUCUGAGGAGGUUGAGGGGCGGUCAUCUGUCUUGUUUUCCUUCCCUGGGGACACCCUGCAAUAAUGAGCGCUGAGCAUAAAUGGAACUCUCUGGUUGGAGGGGAUGAGACAAAGCCACAGGUUUUCCUCUCAUUGCAGCGUCCUAUUUGCUCUGGCGUAUCACAUGAAGGAUGAAGGAGUGGGCCUCUGGCCUUCUGAAAACCACUCUCCAAAAGAGGGACAGGGGGCAGCAAGUUGUUGAGCAGAACCCCCUGCAUACUAUCAGCGUGAUCCUGUAGGGAGUCUCUUCUAUUCAGCCCAGCAGGGGCGCUGACUGUCCUGUGCGUUGAAAGGUGUGGUCCCAGACCCCGGGGGACAUGGUGUGUGUGAGGAGAUAGGCUUGUGUGCAGAGAAACUCUUCAGACUCUCAAGGCAGUCAGGGCUCCGAGGGAGGGAGUGCUGCAGAAAGCCACUGGAGUGCCUGGGGAGGAGCACCCACAUGCUUGGGGCUUUCCAGAAGGUUCCUGGAGAAGGUAGAGCUUGAUACAGCUCCAAAGGAAGGAUUCCAUUCACCAGCAGAGGGAAAAAGAGGGUGUUCCAGGAAGGGGAACAACAUGAGUGAAAGCCCAGAGGCCUUCCAAAAUUCUGGUGGAGUCGUUGAGUAAUUAGGGGGUUAGGAGGGCAGGAAGGAGGACAUAGGAUGGCAGAAGGAGUCAGAAGCUGGAGGGGGAGCAUCUUGGAUGCAGAGUCCUGUAGGCAGCGGAGACCACUGAAGGUUUUCCUGAGAGAUGGGCAGC